This is a small nuclear RNA of Neogale vison (American mink), 142 nucleotides long. RefSeq annotates it as U4 spliceosomal RNA. The transcript has a single exon. The record is from RefSeq and is a predicted model, not a curated record. Lineage: Eukaryota; Metazoa; Chordata; Mammalia; Carnivora; Mustelidae.
AGCUUUGCGCAGUGGCAGUAUCAUAGCCAAUGAGGUUUAUCCGAGGCGCGAUUAUUGCCAUUUACUUUUCCAUACUAGAUUACCUCUGUACAUCUUAGUAUAUUAGUAGUGUAGCAUUUCUUUCUUUUUUUUGUUUUUAAGA